GAUGAACGCUGACAGAAUGCUUAACACAUGCAAGUCAACUUGAACUUCGGUUUGGGUGGCGGACGGGUGAGUAACGCGUAAAGAACUUGCCUCACAGAUAGGGACAACAUUUGGAAACGAAUGCUAAUACCUGAUAUUAUGAUUUUAGGGCAUCCUAGAAUUAUGAAAGCUAUAUGCGCUGUGAGAGAGCUUUGCGUCCCAUUAGCUAGUUGGAGAGGUAACGGCUCACCAAGGCGAUGAUGGGUAGCCGGCCUGAGAGGGUGAUCGGCCACAAGGGGACUGAGACACGGUCCAAACUCCUACGGGAGGCAGCAGUGGGGAAUAUUGCACAAUGGGCGAAAGCCUGAUGCAGCAACGCCGCGUGAACGAUGAAGGUCUUCGGAUCGUAAAGUUCUGUUGCAGGGGAAGAUAAUGACGGUACCCUGUGAGGAAGCCCCGGCUAACUACGUGCCACCAGCCGCGGUAAUACGUAGGGGGCUAGCGUUAUCCGGAUUUACUGUGCGUAAAGGGUGCGUAGGUGGUCCUUCAAGUCGGUGGUUAAAGGCUACGGCUCAACCGUAGUAAGCCGCCGAAACUGGAGGACUUGAGUGCAGGAGAGGAAAGUGUGAAUUCCCAGUGUGGCGGUGAAAUGCGUAGAUAUUGGGAGGAACACCAGUAGCGAAGGCGGCUUUCUGGACUGCAACUGACACUGAGGCACGAAAGCGUGGGUAGCAAACAGGAUAAGAUACCCUAGUAGUCUAAAGGCGAAUUCCACAUUGGGCUGCAGCCCGGGGGAUCCACUAGUUCUAGAGCGGCCGCACCGCGGGAGCUCCAAUUCGCCCUAUAGUGAGUCGUAUUACGCGCGCUCACUGGCGUGGUUUUACCAAGUUUCAAGCCAGGAAAUGCUGGGGCUUGCCCCUUCCAGUGAUGGGGCGUGCCUCCUUUCUCUCUUUGGCAGGUUGCGAAGAGGCAUGCAGCCCUUCACUUUUUGACAUUUGUAUUAUGUGACAUACAGAGUCAUCCUGAUGCUCUAGAUCAUAAAUCGAACUUCUCA
This 1033-nucleotide ribosomal RNA is filed under the name uncultured Streptococcus sp. Its description in RNAcentral is "bacterial SSU rRNA". The stretch from base 1 to 799 matches the Rfam family "Bacterial small subunit ribosomal RNA", at positions 28 to 873 of the family's 1533-position model. Lineage: Bacteria; Bacillati; Bacillota; Bacilli; Lactobacillales; Streptococcaceae. The record is from RNAcentral.